RNAcentral lists this ribosomal RNA (497 nucleotides) under uncultured bacterium. RNAcentral's name for it is "partial 16S ribosomal RNA". It matches the Rfam family "Bacterial small subunit ribosomal RNA", at positions 28 to 507 of the family's 1533-position model. The record is from RNAcentral.
GAUGAACGCUGGCGGCGUGCCUAAUACAUGCAAGUCGAGCGAGCGGACGAGAAGCUUGCUUCUCUGAUGUUAGCGGCGGACGGGUGAGUAACACGUGGAUAACCUACCUAUAAGACUGGGAUAACUUCGGGAAACCGUAGCUAAUACCGGAUAAUAUUUUGAACCGCAUGGUUCAAAAGUGAAAGACGGUCUUGCUGUCACUUAUAGAUGGAUCCGCGCUGCAUUAGCUAGUUGGUAAGGUAACGGCUUACCAAGGCAACGAUGCAUAGCCGACCUGAGAGGGUGAUCGGCCACACUGGAACUGAGACACGGUCCAGACUCCUACGGGAGGCAGCAGUAGGGAAUCUUCCGCAAAGGGCGAAAGCCUGACGGAGCAACGCCGCGUGAGUGAUGAAGGUCUUCGGAUCGUAAAACUCUGUUAUUAGGGAAGAACAUAUGUGUAAGUAACUGUGCACAUCUUGACGGUACCUAAUCAGAAAGCCACGGCUAACUACGUG